AAUAAAUACAAUUUUAGUACUGUUCAUGUCCAAUGUUUGACCAUUUGUCUUAUUUGAAAAAAGAUUAUGAUUAGUAUUUUUAUUGUUAUUAGAUCAUAAAAUAUGAAUAGUACUUUAUAUGUGGCUAAUUUUUUAAAUAUUUUUUAAAUAAGACGGAUGGUCAAAGCGCUGAGCACAUAUAUCUAUGGCUACACUUAUU
This is a non-coding RNA of Oryza nivara, 199 nucleotides long. NCBI's taxonomy places the organism in Eukaryota, Viridiplantae, Streptophyta, Magnoliopsida, Poales, Poaceae. The record is from Rfam.